Molecule: ribosomal RNA, 497 nt
Filed under: uncultured bacterium
Lineage: Bacteria
Description: partial 16S ribosomal RNA
Rfam family: Bacterial small subunit ribosomal RNA
Source: RNAcentral
GAUGAACGCUGGCGGCGUGCCUAAUACAUGCAAGUCGAGCGAACAGACGAGGAGCUUGCUCCUCUGACGUUAGCGGCGGACGGGUGAGUAACACGUGGAUAACCUACCUAUAAGACUGGGAUAACUUCGGGAAACCGGAGCUAAUACUGGAUAACAUGUUCAACCGCAUGGUUCAACAGUGAAAGACGGUCUUGCUGUCACUUAUAGAUGGAUCCGCGCCGCAUUAGCUAGUUGGUAAGGUAACGGCUUACCAAGGCAACGAUGCGUAGCCGACCUGAGAGGGUGAUCGGCCACACUGGAACUGAGACACGGUCCAGACUCCUACGGGAGGCAGCAGUAGGGAAUCUUCCGCAAUGGGCGAAAGCCUGACGGAGCAACGCCGCGUGAGUGAAGAAGGUCUUCGGAUCGUAAAACUCUGUUAUUAGGGAAGAACAAAUGUGUAAGUAACUAUGCACGUCUUGACGGUACCUAAUCAGAAAGCCACGGCUAACUACGUG